GAAAGUCAGUUAUCUAGAUAAUUUUUUGUAACUAUGAUAUGACUAGUCAUAUGUAAUUCUUUAACUCUGGAUUAAAGCCAUCAUAGUUUGAAUGCACAAAUCAAGUCAAGGCCACUUAUACGGAUGCAUAUAGAUUAUCAAGAGAAAAUGUAUUGCAUUUGCAUGCACCCAUAGAGCAAUAGCACACUGCUAAUUUUCUAUCUAAGUGAGGAGAAUUAAAAAAAAAAAAAA
This 231-nucleotide unclassified non-coding RNA is filed under the name Hevea brasiliensis (rubber tree). The record is from RNAcentral. Lineage: Eukaryota; Viridiplantae; Streptophyta; Magnoliopsida; Malpighiales; Euphorbiaceae.